RNAcentral lists this long non-coding RNA (2730 nucleotides) under Taeniopygia guttata (zebra finch). RNAcentral describes it as "lncRNA (ENSTGUG00000028231.1)". The record is from RNAcentral. Lineage: Eukaryota; Metazoa; Chordata; Aves; Passeriformes; Estrildidae.
AAGACCUGUUGGUUCAUUUAGAGGUCGAGGAACAUUUAUGUAAGAGAGUCCUCAAUAACAUUCCUUUAACUUGGCAAGUUGAAAAAGCACAGCACCAAUUUUUUCUCCUCUUUGGAGUAUUAAAUUUUUUGCAUGGAUCUUCUUGAUUUCCAAAGAGUAAAAUUGCUUUAAAAGUCUGGUUACAGCAUCAUGUGAAGUAGAAACAGGCAGCAUGGAUUAAUUUCCACUGAUCACCCUAUCUCCCUAUUAAUGAGGGCAAAAAACCCAGCACACUAGGUUUUUAGGUAGACAGAGGUAAGAUUUGGCUAAGCUUACACCUUUCUGCUGUUGAGAUUUUUCAUGCAUCCAAACAUGCUGGAGGUGGCAAAUGUGAGGGAAAGCUCCGUGUUCUCUGCGUGCAGCUCCAUCUCUUCACUGAAAAUUCCACAGUAAUUUGGUGGUUUCUAUCUCACACUUGCUAGGCGAAUAAAUUCUCCAAAGCAUUUCUCUUCUCUCAAGUCCAUUAAAAAAGCCACUCACUUUUUGGUAAACUCCACACUAAAAGCAUUAGGUUAGGAAACAUUUGUACACGCUUCCUUUCCUAAAAAGGCAGAAGGAUGCAGCAAAGUAGGUUGGAGGCUGAUUUUCCUGAGCUGUCUCAUGCGAGUUCAAGCAAUAGGAAAAUUAAAUGUCUCUCCAGAGAGGUGUUAGGUGUUUUCUUUUGUUGUUGUUGGUUUUUUUUUGUUUUGUUUUGUUUUGUUUUUACAUUAGAUGUUCUUUCUUGCCCUUUUGUAUGCAAUUAUUUGAUUGCGUGAGCACAAAAUUCGUGUUGGGAUUAUGUAAAGCUGAAGCAGGAAAAUCAGGGUCACUGAUGAGGCACAGGGGGAGAUUCCUGGCUGCCUCUUAUGAUUUCAGGUGCCAUAGAAACACUUGAAGGAAAGCUGCCCUUAACUUUAUUUGCCUCGUCCUUGCUAUUUCCUUUGGGACAGAAUGAUACUGAUUGUUUUAUCACCCUGUUUUAUUGACAGAUCCUGUGCUCUGCAAAUGCAAACCCUGGUUUUAAAACAAAAGUGUGUUCUAUUGUGGAGUGAUGGAGUUGUGUCAAAGCUGUCUUGUUAGGAGAGGUUUCCUGAAUCAUGCUGGAACAUUAUUCUGUAGAGGCAUAGCUGACAUGGCAAGAACCAGGGUGAGCAGCUAUGUGCCAGUGUGUGGACUCUCCUCCUGGAGAGACCACCUGGGCAAGUGAGGCAAAUGAUACAAGGAAGGGAAUUUGAAUAAUGAUCACUUUUAAAAAAUGAAUUGUUUAGAUGCCUGCAUUGAAGAGGGUAGUUCUGGAGUAAUAUUCAAAAUGACUGUGUGGUCAGCUCUGUCACUCCACCACUUCUUUCUCAGGACUAGUACUUUUUACUCACACAGGAUUAAGAGAAUUGAGGAUCCACUUGCUGGGUACCUCAGUGACAUCAGAACAUUCCCACUGCUCAAAACUGAGAAGCAGUGAUGCAUGUUUGAUAUAGCUAGAAAAUAGCCUGUUCUGUCCCUUACCCCAGGCAAGUUACCUGCUAAAGCUGAUGCAUUUUGCAGAUUUUAUAGGGGGAAAAAAAGAAGGGGGGAAAAACAGACAGUAGAUGUGAUAAUUUCAUGUGAGAGAAACCCAGGUGAUGACAAAAAGUUCUUUUGUAAAGUUCUGAAAAAAUCUAUUCUGACCUUGAAACGUGUUCAGCCUUUUUUGUCUUACUGCAGUCCUUGCAGUUAUACCUGUGGUGAAUUAAUCUCUUUGUUAGCUACGUCUGAGUGCUCAGGAAAAUGGAUCCCUCAGCUGGGCGAGCAUUCCAGCAUUGUUUUUGUGCAAAGAGAUGUCACCAUUUUUAAUUGCACAUCCUGGGAGGGUGGCUAAAGUGUCUCCCUGCUGAGAGGGACAUGGCUGGGCUUUAAAAUAAAGUUGAAAACACUGGCAUAGUAAGUAUAUUCCAGUGCCUAAACACAUCACAUUUGUACACACACACUUCUGUCUCUGCCUUGCUUUUACAUGUGUGAACCUUAAGAAAAUUGCAGUUUUGCUGCUGAUCUAGUAGGUGCUUUUCUGUCUGUAACAGGAAAAAAAUGUGAUUUUUAACUGUAUAGGUGUGGAAACUCAUGUCUAUCCAGAACAACAAGGAAAAACUGCUAUUGUAAAGAAAGGUAAAUUGCAGCUUCAAAAUACUUCAUAUAUUUAUCCUUCUUUUUUCUUUUUUCUUUCUAAAAUUUUGAAAAUUUUGAUAAUUGCUCUAAAGCCCUUUCUAAGUGCUUUUUUGUAAUGACUUUGAAGUGGUUUUUCAGAUUCAUUUUCAAUAUAUUUCUCUUGCAAGCAACACUUGAUCCAAAUAUUUUACUGCCUAGAAAAAACAAAUCCAGAUUUUCAGAAAAGCAUUCCUGAAUUUAAAAAAAAUUUUCCAUACUGCUAGUGUACUGGAAAAACUGCAGUUCUCAUGGUCCUUUUUGACUUUAGACCCUAAUAUAAAGCUAUAAUUUAAAAAUCCUGAUUUCUAGCCUAGACUUUUAUAUGUUUGAUCUCCAAUUUUCAGAUACUUCUUUGCUGAAAUUGAGCUAAACCUAGGCAAAGUGUUGUGGUAAGUGAUGGGAGGGAGGAAAGUACUCAUUGUGCUUAAAGCUUCAUCCUUAGGUGGUGAUUAGUUGGCUUCCUAAGAUUAUUAAUGAGGUAGAGAAAUUAUUGCUGAAGCAAUCAGGGUGUCUGGUUUUCUCUCUGGUGAGAGA